CUGCGGUUUGGUCCCUGCCACAAAGAGAUGAAGAAAAUGCUCAAGCUGCUUCCUGUCACUGUAAUCUGAUUACAAUCCUCCCAAUGUCCCAAUGACUGAUUCAUGUUCUAAGGGACGAAGCCUGACUGUUUUUGCUCCACUAAUAUGACGGUCGUGUAGAUGCGGCGCUGCACUUCAACGGGGAAUUCUACAGAUGUUUUGACAAAUUUUCUCUGUGAAAAAGUCACUUGGUGAUUAGGUCAGCUAAUCAGGUCGGUUCCCCAACUUGCAAAUAGCAAGAGAUUGAGAAGUUGUGUACUGUAUUUGCAUAAGAGGAUCAUUAUGUGUCUUUUGGGAGUAAAGGUGAAAAGCUAAGAAGGAGAAAGGAAGGUGGUGUGAUCACCGUGUGUUUGCUGCGUGGGAUGAAAUCUGCUCGUGUGGUCAUUACACAUGUGUGACCAACAUCUGCUUCCGGGAUCAGCUGAGGAGGUUUGGUGGGCGGCCGAUGUGUGUCAAGAUGCGUGUGGUAGGGGCGCAUACGUACUGGGUCACUGGAAGGCUUGGUGGAGGCGAGGCAGCGUGGUGGGGGGCAGUACGUACUGGGUCACUGGAAGGCUUGGUGGAAGCGAG
Long non-coding RNA from Gasterosteus aculeatus aculeatus (three-spined stickleback), 609 nucleotides. The record is from Ensembl. NCBI's taxonomy places the organism in Eukaryota, Metazoa, Chordata, Actinopteri, Perciformes, Gasterosteidae.